AGUGAACGCUGGCGGUAGGCCUAACACAUGCAAGUCGAACGGCAGCACAGUAAGAGCUUGCUCUUACGGGUGGCGAGUGGCGGACGGGUGAGGAAUACAUCGGAAUCUACUUUUUCGUGGGGGAUAACGUAGGGAAACUUACGCUAAUACCGCAUACGACCUACGGGUGAAAGCAGGGGAUCUUCGGACCUUGCGCGAUUGAAUGAGCCGAUGUCGGAUUAGCUAGUUGGCGGGGUAAAGGCCCACCAAGGCGACGAUCCGUAGCUGGUCUGAGAGGAUGAUCAGCCACAGUGGAACUGAGACACGGUCCAGGCUCCCACGGGAGGCAGCAGUGGGGAAUAUUGGACAAUGGGCGCAAGCCUGAUCCAGCCAUACCGCGUGGGUGAAGAAGGCCUUCGGGUUGUAAAGCCCUUUUGUUGGGAAAGAAAAGCAGCAGGUUAAUACCCCGCUGUUCUGACGGUACCCAAAGAAUAAGCACCGGCUAACUUCGUG
Molecule: ribosomal RNA, 492 nt
Filed under: uncultured bacterium
Lineage: Bacteria
Description: partial 16S ribosomal RNA
Rfam family: Bacterial small subunit ribosomal RNA
Source: RNAcentral